This 441-nucleotide ribosomal RNA is filed under the name uncultured bacterium. RNAcentral's name for it is "partial 16S ribosomal RNA". It matches the Rfam family "Bacterial small subunit ribosomal RNA", at positions 338 to 795 of the family's 1533-position model. The record is from RNAcentral.
CCUACGGGUGGCAGCAGUGGGGAAUAUUGCACAAUGGGGGAAACCCUGAUGCAGCGACGCCGCUUGAGUGAAGAAGUACUUCGGAAUGUAAAGCUCUAUCAGCAGGGAAGAAGCAAGACGGUACCCGACGAAGAAGCUCCGGCUAACUACGUGCCAGCAGCCGCGGGAAUACGUAGGGGGCAAGCGUUAUCCGGAUUUACUGGGUGUAAAGGGAGCGUAGACGGGAGUGCAAGUCUGGAGUGAAAUCUCGGGGCUUAACCCGGGGACUGCUUUUGAAACUGGGUGUCUUGAGUGCUGGAGAGGUAGGUGGAAUUCCUAGUGUAGCGGUGAAAUGCGUAGAUAUUAGGAGGAACACCAGUGGCGAAGGCGGCUUACUGGACAGUAACUGACGUUGAGGCGCGAAAGCGUGGGGAGCAAACAGGAUUAGAUACCCUGGUAGUC